GAUGAACGCUGGCGGCGUGCCUAAUACAUGCAAGUAGAACGAACAGGCGGGGGGCUUGCUCCUCUGACGUUAGCGGCGGGCGGGAGUGUAGCACAUGGAUAACCUCUCUAAGCGGCUGGGAUAACUUCGAGAAGCCAGCGCUAGUACCGUAAAAUAAAUUGAACCAUGUGGUUCACUAAUAAAGGGCGGUUUUGCUGUUACUAAAUGGUGGUGCGUCGCGGCAUUGGCUAGUUGGUAAGGUAACGGCUUACGAAGGCAACGAUUCGUAGCCGCCCUGAGAGGGUGUCCGCCCACACUGGAACGGAGACACGGCCCAGAUCCCUACGGGAGGAAGCAUAAGGGAAUCUUCGGCAUUGAGCGAAAGCCGGACGGAGCAACGCCGCUGGAUGGAGGAAGUUCUCCGGACCGUAAACCUUUUUUAUUAGGGAAGACGAAAUGUGUAAGUAACUGUGCACGCCUUGACGGUACCUUAUCAGAAAGCCACGGCUAACUACGUG
This 497-nucleotide ribosomal RNA is filed under the name uncultured bacterium. Its description in RNAcentral is "partial 16S ribosomal RNA". It matches the Rfam family "Bacterial small subunit ribosomal RNA", at positions 28 to 507 of the family's 1533-position model. The record is from RNAcentral.